Molecule: long non-coding RNA, 262 nt
Filed under: Mytilus galloprovincialis (Mediterranean mussel)
Lineage: Eukaryota; Metazoa; Mollusca; Bivalvia; Mytilida; Mytilidae
Source: RNAcentral
GGCCUUUGUUAGUCUUGUAUUAUUUUAAUUUUAGUUUCUUGUGUACAAUUUGGAAAUUAGUAUGGUGUUCAUUAUCACUGAACUAGUAUAUAUUUGUUUAGGGGCCAGUUGAAGGACGCCUCCGGGUGCGGGAAUUUCUCGCUACAUUGAAGACCUGUUGGUGACCUUCUGCUGUUGUUUUUUUCUAUGGUCGGGUUGUUGUCUCUUUGGCACAUUCCACAUUUCCAUUCUCAAUUUUAUCAUAUAUUCUUACGCAGAAAAU